CCGCGAUAGGCCACGAUUUCUGGAAUGGAUCAUGGCUGAAAUCUACAUGGCCGCUGGAUUGGACUACGGCCGAUCAGGCUGUUGGUGAGGUAAUGGCCCACCAAACCUGUAACCGGUACGGGCUUUGAGAGAAGGAGCCCGGAGAUGGGCACUGAGACAAGGGCCCAGGCCCUAUGGGGCGCAGCAGGCGCGAAACCUCUGCAAUAGGCGAAAGCUUGACAGGGUUACUCUGAGUGAUGAUCGCUAAGAUCAUCUUUUGGCACCUCUAAAAAUGGUGUAGAAUAAGGGGUGGGCAAGUCUGGUGUCAGCCGCCGCGGUAAUACCAGCACCCCGAGUGGUCGGGACGAUUAUUGGGCCUAAAGCAUCCGUAGCCGGUUCUGCAAGUCUUCCGUUAAAUCCACCUGCUCAACAGAUGGGCUGCGGGGGAUACUACAGGGCUAGGAGGCGGGAGAGGCAAGCGGUACUCAGUGGGUAGGGGUAAAAUCCUCUGAUCCACUGAAGACCACCAGUGGCGAAGGCGGCUUGCCAGAACGCGCUCGACGGUGAGGGAUGAAAGCUGGGGGAGCAAACCGGAUUAGAUACCCGGGUAGUCCCAGCUGUAAACGAUGCAGACUCGGUGAUGGGUUGGCUUUGUGCCAACCCAGUGCCGCAGGGAAGCCGUUAAGUCUGCCGCCUGGGGAGUACGGUCGCAAGACUG
RNAcentral lists this ribosomal RNA (697 nucleotides) under uncultured bacterium. RNAcentral's name for it is "bacterial SSU rRNA". It matches the Rfam family "Archaeal small subunit ribosomal RNA", at positions 151 to 851 of the family's 1478-position model. The record is from RNAcentral.